GAUGAACGCUGGCGGCGUGCCUAAUACAUGCAAGUCGAGCGAACAGAUGAGGAGCUUGCUCCUCUGACGUUAGCGGCGGACGGGUGAGUAACACGUGGAUAACCUACCUAUAAGACUGGGAUAACUUCGGGAAACCGGAGCUAAUACCGGAUAAUCUAUUGAACCGCAUGGUUCAAUAGUGAAAGACGGUCUUGCUGUCACUUAUAGAUGGAUCCGCGCCGCAUUAGCUAGUUGGUAAGGUAACGGCUUACCAAGGCAACGAUGCGUAGCCGACCUGAGAGGGUGAUCGGCCACACUGGAACUGAGACACGGUCCAGACUCCUACGGGAGGCAGCAGUAGGGAAUCUUCCGCAAUGGGCGAAAGCCUGACGGAGCAACGCCGCGUGAGUGAUGAAGGUCUUCGGAUCGUAAAACUCUGUUAUUAGGGAAGAACAAAUGUGUAAGUAACUGUGCACGUCUUGACGGUACCUAAUCAGAAAGCCACGGCUAACUACGUG
Molecule: ribosomal RNA, 497 nt
Filed under: uncultured bacterium
Lineage: Bacteria
Description: partial 16S ribosomal RNA
Rfam family: Bacterial small subunit ribosomal RNA
Source: RNAcentral